CAGCAGCCGCGGUAACACGAAGGGGGCUAGCGUUGCUCGGAAUCACUGGGCGUAAAGGGUGCGCAGGCGGUUUUGUAAGACAGGCGUGAAAUCCCCGGGCUCAACCUGGGAAUGGCGCUUGUGACUGCAAAGCUAGAGUGCGGCAGAGGGGGAUGGAAUUCCGCGUGUAGCAGUGAAAUGCGUAGAUAUGCGGAGGAACACCGAUGGCGAAGGCAAUCCCCUGGGCCUGCACUGACGCUCAUGCACGAAAGCGUGGGGAGCAAACAGGAUUAGAUACCCCUGUAGUCCCUGUCUCUUAUAC
RNAcentral lists this ribosomal RNA (301 nucleotides) under uncultured bacterium. RNAcentral describes it as "partial 16S ribosomal RNA". It matches the Rfam family "Bacterial small subunit ribosomal RNA", at positions 509 to 807 of the family's 1533-position model. The record is from RNAcentral.